This 490-nucleotide ribosomal RNA is filed under the name uncultured bacterium. RNAcentral describes it as "partial 16S ribosomal RNA". It matches the Rfam family "Bacterial small subunit ribosomal RNA", at positions 29 to 507 of the family's 1533-position model. The record is from RNAcentral.
AGUGAACGCUGGCGGCAGGCCUAACACAUGCAAGUCGAACGGCAGCACAAGAGAGCUUGCUCUCUGGGUGGCGAGUGGCGGACGGGUGAGGAAUGCAUCGGAAUCUGCCCAUUUGUGGGGGAUAACCUCGGGAAACCGGGACUAAUACCGCAUACGACCUACGGGUGAAAGCAGGGGAUCUUCGGACCUUGCGCAGAUGGAUGAGCCGAUGCCGGAUUAGCUAGUUGGAGGGGUAAAGGCCCACCAAGGCGACGAUCCGUAGCUGGUCUGAGAGGAUGAUCAGCCACACUGGGACUGAGACACGGCCCAGACUCCUACGGGAGGCAGCAGUGGGGAAUAUUGGACAAUGGGCGCAAGCCUGAUCCAGCCAUGCCGCGUGUGUGAAGAAGGCCUUCGGGUUGUAAAGCACUUUUGUUGGGAAAGAAAAGCAGCCGGUUAGUACCCGGUUGUCAUGACGGUACCCAAAGAAUAAGCACCGGCUAACUUCGUG